UGUCUAUGAAAUACUCUAGGUAUCGUCUCAGUUCUAUGAUGUUAUUAAAACAAAGUUCUAAUACACAUUUUCAAAAACUAAACCUUAAGAAAAGUUUUGAUGUGGUGGCACUAUCAUUGGAGAGAUUAGUCUACAUAUUGACAAAACUUAUAUUAUUUGGCAGUAUUGACACAACAGAUAUGGAGUAGAUUUAAUCACGUGAGUUGAGCAACCUUUUGCAGGGAAAUACCAAUACGAAGUGGGCGAAGGCGUGAAGGAGUGGACCAGCACAACAAUUCAAAUUUCAAGUUCUUCUUCUUCCCCUUCUCGAAUUCUUCCCCUUUGUCCAUUCCUUCCCACUCACACCUCCUUCCCGCUCAGAGCCACCCAGUCCGAACGGCCGGAACCCUAACCCUCGGCCCCAUGAAGAUCUCCGAGCUCUCCCCCGAAUACCGGCAGCCGCCGCCGCACGCUGGCUUCCUCACCGACCUCAGCAAGGUCGUCGCCGACGUCGAGUCGUUCGACACCUCUGACUCUUCGGCGGAGAAGCUCGCCGCUGAUUUCCGCCGCGUCCUCACCAACCUCGGCUCCGUCUCCUCGUCGCUCACCUAUGCCUGCAGGAUCCAGAUAUGGAAGCUCGCCAACCGCCUCUGGAACGCGUGCGUCGACCGCGCCAACUGCGCGGCCUUGUCCCGGGCCCCCUCCGCUCGCGCCGCCGAGGCGGAGAUAAGGCAAGCGGCGCCGGAGCUCCUCCUCCUCGCCGGCGCCCCCGAUGAAAUCCCCCUUGCUGUCGCGAAGACAGCCAACUACUUCCGCUGCGCCGGGCAGGAAUGGCUUAACCUCGGCCGCCUCGACCUCGCCUCCGCUUGCUUCGAGAAGGCCACGCUGCUGGUGUCCGCCGCCGCCACGGAAGAGGAACGGGACGUCUUGCUCGACCUGAACCUCGCGCGGGCACGCGCGGCAUCGGACGCGGGCGAUCAAUCCCUCGCCGUCGCGCUGCUGAGCCGGUCCAAGCCCCUCGCGUCCGCAUCUCCCGAGGGGAUCAAAUCCCUCGCCGAGGGGUACCUAUCCAUCGCCAAUGCCAUACUCACCACGAAACCCUCUGAUCCCGGUGUUGAAGCGUCCAGCCUUCUCACCGAGGCACUAAAUCUCUGCGAGAAGGUGCCCUCCCCCUCCGGCGCAAGCCCUAAACCCCCAAAUGUCGAGGGGCUCAAGGGUCGAUGUCUCCGUCUCUUCGCCCUCGAGCGAAUGCAAGCCAAUGACUAUGAGGGCGUCCUGCGCUCUAUCAGGAUCUCGAGGUCCUCAAUGGGGCUGGGAGGGGAGCACCCAAGCAUGGUGUUCAUGGCGCUGCAAGCGUGGCUGGGCAGCGGGAACGUGGCGGAGGCCGAGAGGGAGCUCGAGAGACUCAUGGCCAAUGCCGAAGCACCAGAGAAUCUGUGCGUGUCUGCUGCCGAGGUGUACCUUGCCUCCGCAGGGCCUGAGGCUGCACGUAAGGUGCUCGUUGCGCUUGCUGCGAGAUGCCGUGCAGGAGGUGCAGCAGCUGCUGUGAGAGUGGUGACGAAGGUGGUUGAUGGUGGUAUCAGUAGCACUGGACGCGCAAGAGCAAUCUCUGAGCUCGUGUCAGAUGAGAGGGUGGUCGCACUGUUUGAUGGCCUGGCAAACACCAGAGAGCGUGGCGCAAUGCAUACACUCCUGUGGAACUGCGGUACCGAGCAUUUCCAUGCAAAGAAUUAUGAUACAAGUGCAGACUUGAUUGAGAGAUCGAUGCUUUAUUUGCCCCGCGGAGAGGAAAGCAGACACCAGCGAGCACGCUGCCUCCGAGUCCUUACCCUUUGCCAUGUAGCCCUUCAACAUCUGGAUCGAGCGCAAGAGUUCAUCAAUGAAGCCGACAAGGUCGAACACAAUGUUCACUGUGUAUUUACAAAGAUUAAAAUCCAUCUGCAGAAGAAUGAAGAGGAUGAGACUAUCAAGCAGAUGAAAACCUUGGUGGGCUGUGCUGACUUCAACCCUCAAUUCCUAGUACUCAUAACUCAUGAAGCUAUUGCCUGCAAGUCUGUCCGGGUGGCAGUGGCUUCACUGACCUUCCUUCUUUGUCUCUAUUCUACCGGAAAGCCAAUGCCAAUGGCUGAGGUUGCUGUCCUCCGCAAUCUUAUUGAGCUCCUCCAUCGUGAGCAUGGGACCGAGGCUGAUAUCCUGAAGUACUUCAGACGGGCCAAGCUACGGAUGUCUGACCUCGGCGUGGAAGUAUUUUUUGGCAAUGGAGCUGUUGGGGUGCGUGAGCUUAACUGGUUUGCAGCCAAUAGCUGGAAUAUGGGUUUAAGGAUGGGGCAUGUGCAGAAUUAUGAUCUUAGUGCUGAGUUCUUUGAGCUUGCAGCAGAGUUUUUUGGCGCCUCAAGUAAUCUUGAGGGUGAUGGAAAUCAGUUCACUGUUUGCCAAGCAUUAAUCAUGAGCGUGACUGCCAUGCUCAAUGCUGAAGAGCAAAACAAUUCUCCAUUAACAGAUUGUGAUAUUAAAAAAGGUGUCGAGAUGCUCAGCAGAGCUGGCAAGCUGUUACCUUUGAUUUGGCCCUCAGUUCCGGUGGCCUCUGAUCAGGUGGAGACCAACAACUUUCUAUUUCUUCAUACCUUCAACUCCUACAAACUUCUUGACAGGAUGGACACCAACGCACAUCCUCAGCAGCUCCAACUAGUCAAGAAUUUCGCUUCCUCGAAAGCAUGCACACCAGACCAUCUUCUCAAACUUGGAAUAGCUGCUUCUAAAGGCACCCCACCGAACCUGCUGGUUGCUGAAUUUUCCCUGAAGGCUAGCAUCACCAGUGCCCUUGCCUCCCACUCCCCAAACUACAGAGUAAUCAGCGGCGCCCUAAGGAAGCUAGCCUGCCUUCCUGACUUGACAGACCUCAAUGGUAGCAAGAGUGAUGCAGCGUAUGAUGUAUAUCGACAAGCCUACCAGAUUGUAGUUGGACUGAGAGAUGGCGAGUACCCAUUUGAGGAAGGGAAGUGGCUUGCUAUGACCGCCUGGAACAAGUCAUAUUUGGCUGCACGGCUUAAUCAAGCUUCAGUUGCUAUAAAGUGGAUGAAGAUGGGAUUAGAUCUCUCUCGGCAUCUUGAGAGCAUGAAGGAAUAUAUAGCAGGCCUGGAGAAAUACUUGGAGAACUUCCAGAAAAAGUUUGAUAGUGAACCUGAUGAUUGUAUUUUGCUCGAAAAGAAACAUGAUGAAUCUAGUCAGCAAGAUGGGGGACCAAGUACUAGUAUGUCUUGUAGCAUGUCUCAGCCUGUUCUAGUAGUAUAGAUACUUCUGAGUGUUAACGACCAAGAAAUGCAUAGAUAAUUGAGCUAUGGUGCAAACUUUCUUUCACUGGAGCUCUGCAUAUGACAAGUCAAAUAUUAUUGUCUGAUGUUAGAUCUUUAGGGCCAGGUUCGUAUGGUGCUGUACGACCAUCGCCAGCUAGUGGUGCAGCAGCUACACCUCUCUGAUUCAGCAAACACCUGAAGCGUGACAGUCUUGAUGUGGCCGACCUUGGGUCUUCUGCAAGCUUCUCAAUUGGAGUCCACAAUCUCUCUUCAAGCCAAUGCAGUGUGAAUUGGACGCAACUACAUGAUAUCUGAUCGUUUGGGAAAACAAAUGAAAAACCUAACUUCACUUUUGUCGACAAAAGGACUAUCUGAUGGCCACAAUGAUGGGUAACCAACACCCCUGAAAAAAGUGCAAUAUGUACAAUUGUCAGUCAUGCACUCAUGCUUAUUGCUAUGCAGGAUAUAAUUUAAGUUGCACAUAUUGACACUCCAGCAAGAUUACUCUGGCAGACAACAGGAAGAAGAGUGGAGUUGCAGCAACUAGGAGUGACUGAGAACAGUUAAGUUGUAUGACUCAUCUACCCCGAAGCUUAGCUGCAGAAGAUGAACAUCACAGAGCAUUCGCAGAAUCAGAGUAUCAGACAUUGCAAUUCUUAAAGAAAUUUGCUGUUCAUCGCAUGAAAUGAGUAGAUUACCUCAUCCUCUGGUGAAUGAACAACCAUAUUAACACCAGUGAGCACAAAAGAACUUCGGUUUGUAUCGUCUGCAUUGUGGUUCAGUUUCAUUAAAUCAAGCAUUCUCUGGAAGGCGUCCUUCAAGAUUGCCUUCUCAUCAGAA
This is an RNA transcript of Brachypodium distachyon (stiff brome), 4112 nucleotides long. It is a transcript of the gene named TPR repeat-containing protein ZIP4, with no coding region annotated. The transcript has 10 exons. NCBI's taxonomy places the organism in Eukaryota, Viridiplantae, Streptophyta, Magnoliopsida, Poales, Poaceae. The record is from RefSeq and is a predicted model, not a curated record.